UGAGGAAUAUUGCGCAAUGGACGAAAGUCUGACGCAGCCAUGCCGCGUGCAGGAUUGAAGGCCCUAUGGGUUGUAAACUGCUUUUGUACGGGAAUAAACCCUUCUACGUGUAGAAGGCUGAAGGUACCGUAAGAAUAAGCACCGGCUAACUCCGUGCCAGCAGCCGCGGAU
Molecule: ribosomal RNA, 171 nt
Filed under: uncultured Persicobacter sp.
Lineage: Bacteria; Pseudomonadati; Bacteroidota; Cytophagia; Cytophagales; Persicobacteraceae
Description: partial 16S ribosomal RNA
Rfam family: Bacterial small subunit ribosomal RNA
Source: RNAcentral